Molecule: ribosomal RNA, 248 nt
Filed under: uncultured bacterium
Lineage: Bacteria
Description: partial 16S ribosomal RNA
Rfam family: Bacterial small subunit ribosomal RNA
Source: RNAcentral
AUACGGAGGGUGCAAGCGUUGUUCGGAAUUAUUGGGCGUAAAGCGCGCGUAGGCGGUUUCUUAAAGUCUGACGUGAAAGCCCCGGGCUCAACCUGGGAAGUGCAUUGGAAACUGGGGGACUUGAGUACGGGAGAGGGUAGUGGAAUUCCUAGUGUAGGAGUGAAAUCCGUAGAUAUUAGGAGGAACACCGGUGGCGAAGGCGGCUACCUGGACCGAUACUGACGCUGAGACGCGAAAGCGUGGGGAGC